GAUUGGCGGCCGGAGGGAUGGCAAAGCUGCCACGCGCACGGGGGUGCGGGCUGCGGGACUGCGAUUGCUGCCGGGUAGGACCAGCUCUGUCUCGGAAGACCUAGGCUGUAGACGUGGGGAUUUCAGUAGGAAACAUUAUGGAUCUGUGGAGCUGCUUAUUUCCAGUGAUGCUGAUGGAGCCAUCCAAAGGGCUGGAAGAUUCAGAGUGGAAAAUGGCUCUUCAGAUGAGAAUGCAACUGCCCUGCCUGGUACUUGGCGAAGAACAGACGUGCACUUAGAGAACCCAGAAUACCACACCAGAUGGUAUUUCAAAUAUUUUUUAGGACAAGUCCAUCAGAACUACAUUGGAAACGAUGCAGAGAAGAGCCCUUUCUUCUUGUCCGUGACCCUUUCUGACCAAAACAAUCAACGUGUCCCUCAAUACCGUGCAAUUCUUUGGAGAAAAACAGGUACCCAGAAAAUAUGCCUUCCCUACAGUCCCACAAAAACUCUUUCUGUGAAGUCCAUCUUAAGUGCCAUGAAUCUGGACAAAUUUGAGAAAGGCCCCAGGGAAAUUUUUCAUCCUGAAAUACAAAAG
This 577-nucleotide small RNA is filed under the name Pan troglodytes (chimpanzee). RNAcentral describes it as "processed transcript". The record is from RNAcentral. Lineage: Eukaryota; Metazoa; Chordata; Mammalia; Primates; Hominidae.